This 478-nucleotide ribosomal RNA is filed under the name uncultured bacterium. RNAcentral's name for it is "partial 16S ribosomal RNA". It matches the Rfam family "Bacterial small subunit ribosomal RNA", at positions 29 to 523 of the family's 1533-position model. The record is from RNAcentral.
AACAAACGCUGGCGGCGUGCCUAAUACAUGCAAGUCGAACGGGGAAAGCUUUCGGGUGAGUACUAGUGGCGCACGGGUGAGGAACGCGUGGAUAAUCUGCCUUAGAGUGGGGGAUAACUAGUCGAAAGAUUAGCUAAUACCGCAUAAGACCACAGGAGCUGCGGCUCAAGGGGUCAAAGGUUUUUCGCUCUAAGAUGAGUCCGCGUAAGAUUAGCUAGUUGGUGAGGUAACGGCUCACCAAGGCGACGAUCUUUAACUGGUCUGAGAGGAUGAUCAGUCACACUGGAACUGAGACACGGUCCAGACUCCUACAGGAGGCAGCAGUAGGGAAUAUUGCACAAUGGAGGAAACUCUGAUGCAGCGACGCCGCGUGAGUGAUGAAGGCCUUCGGGUCGUAAAGCUCUGUCGCAGGGGAAUAACACAAUGAAGGUACCCUGUAAGAAAGGAUCGGCUAACUUCGUGCCAGCCGCCGCUGUAA